Molecule: ribosomal RNA, 417 nt
Filed under: uncultured bacterium
Lineage: Bacteria
Description: bacterial SSU rRNA
Rfam family: Bacterial small subunit ribosomal RNA
Source: RNAcentral
AUUGAACGCUGGCGGCGUGCCUAACACAUGCAAGUCGAGCGGUAACAGGUGUAGCAAUACAUGCUGACGAGCGGCGGACGGGUGAGUAACGCUUGGGAAUCUGCCUAUUAGUGGGGGACAACCCGGGGAAACUCGGGCUAAUACCGCAUACGCACUACGGUGGAAAGCCGGGGACCGCAAGGCCUGGCGCUAACAGAUGAGCCCAAGUCGGAUUAGCUAGUUGGUAGGGUAACGGCCACCAAGGCGACGAUCCGUAACUGGUCUGAGAGGACGACCAGUCACACCGGAACUGAGACACGGUCCGGACUCCUACGGGAGGCAGCAGUGGGGAAUAUUGGACAAUGGCGAAAGCCUGAUCCAGCGACGCCGCGUGGGUGAAGAAGGCCUGCGGGUUGUAAAGCCCUUUCAGUGGGGAAG